UGUAAGCGUAUACCAAAGUUGUUGCAGUUAAAACGCUCGUAGUCGGACUUUGGCAGUUCCGGAUGUGUGCACGUCGUGUGCGCACUUCGCGGGGAUUGCUUUUGUGGUCUUGCGUAGGAUGAGGCACUUUUAUUAGUGAACGUCCUCACGCAACCACUUUUUACUGUGAGAAAAUCAGAGUGCUCAAAGCAGGCAUUUGCCGUGAAUGUAUUAGCAUGGAAUAAUAGAAUAGGACUUGGUUCUAUUUUGUUGGUUUGUUGGGACUGAGUAAUGAUUAAGAGGGACAGUUGGGGGCAUUUGUAUUUCGGUGCUAGAGGUGAAAUUCUUAGAUUACCGAAAGACAAACCGCUGCGAAAGCGUCUGCCAAGGAUGUUUUCAUUGA
This 382-nucleotide ribosomal RNA is filed under the name uncultured eukaryote. Its description in RNAcentral is "partial 18S ribosomal RNA". It matches the Rfam family "Eukaryotic small subunit ribosomal RNA", at positions 592 to 976 of the family's 1831-position model. The record is from RNAcentral.